Molecule: ribosomal RNA, 501 nt
Filed under: uncultured bacterium
Lineage: Bacteria
Description: partial 16S ribosomal RNA
Rfam family: Bacterial small subunit ribosomal RNA
Source: RNAcentral
AUUGAACGCUGGCGGCAGGCUUAACACAUGCAAGUCGAGCGGGGGAAGGUAGCUUGCUACCGGACCUAGCGGCGGACGGGUGAGUAAUGCUUAGGAAUCUGCCUAUUAGUGGGGGACAACAUCUCGAAAGGGAUGCUAAUACCGCAUACGUCCUACGGGAGAAAGCAGGGGAUCUUCGGACCUUGCGCUAAUAGAUGAGCCUAAGUCGGAUUAGCUCGUUGGUGUGGUAAAGGCCUACCAAGGCGACGAUCUGUAGCGGGUCUGAGAGGAUGACCCGCCACACCGGGACUGAGACGCGGCCCAGACUCCUAAGGGAGGCAGCAGUGGGGAAUAUUGGACAAUGGGGGGAACCCUGAUCCAGCCAUGCCGCGUGUGUGAAGAAGGCCUUAUGGUUGUAAAGCACUUUAAGCGAGGAGGAGGCUACUCUAGUUAAUACCUAGGGAUAGUGGACGUUACUCGCAGAAUAAGCACCGGCUAACUCUGUGCCAGCCGCCGCGGUAA